Pelobates cultripes (western spadefoot toad) is the source of this 930-nucleotide non-coding RNA. The record is from the annotation of a GenBank genome assembly. Lineage: Eukaryota; Metazoa; Chordata; Amphibia; Anura; Pelobatidae.
CUUCUAAUUCUUGUGAAUACAAAAGAAUAAAUAGUUUGACGACACAUUUGGAUGAAUAUAGCCCACGCGAGGUUAGUCUGUCAGUUGAGAAUGAGUAACACAAUCAGUUAUGCAGGGGAAGGAUUCAUAAUUAAACUGAAGUGGUUUGUUGUUUAGGCUGACCAUGUGCUCUGUAAAUAUUGUUUUAGCAAUGGAGUCACUUAUCAAUGCCAAUAUGUAGAUUUUUAGUAACAUCUUUCAGGGUUAUUAACUAAAGUGAGAAUUGUCAGGGAUUCAAAGUGAAUAUCUAAGCCAAACUGGAAAAAUGCUUUCAGUCGCCUAUGCUUCUAUUUCACAUAUGUCGGCGGUAAAUUUGAAAUUCAAUUUAAAUUCUCAACAACUCUCACUUUAGUUAGUAACCCUGAAAGAUGUUACUGAAAACCUACAUGUUCGCAUUGAUAAAUUACUCCUUCGCUAAAACAAUAUUUACAGAGAAAAGGUUUUGUUUUACUCCCAGUUCAUGUGUGUUUUGGAGGUCCUUAAAAGGUCAGCCUAAACAACAAACCACUUAAGUUUAAUAAUGUGGUAUUGGUGGCAGAAUCCUUCCCCUGCACGCUUAUACUUUAAAAACAGUCGGUUUUAGAGAUACAGCAGUUUCCAUUUUGCCCUAACCACCUCCCUAGUGGUGGCCAGACAGCCAUAGAAUAAUAGAUUCCUAUUAAGACAAGUUGACUUGGUUCCUGUUCCUGAAAGUCAUUUUAGUUCCUAUUUCUGCAUUCCAGGUGCCGUGCAAAACAGUAACCCCUAAUUAGAACUAUGCACUAGAACACAAUCAGAGCUCAGUUAUAUGUGAGCAAUUCCAUCCCUCCACUUACUAGUGCCAGGCAGUCACUCAACUCACUGUUUGUUAACAGACACACCCACAUGCAAUCGCGCAAUGUAGUAUUCAAU